UAGUCAUAUGCUAAUCUCAAAGAUUAAGCCAUGCAUAUCUAAGUAUAAGCUCGCUUAUACGGCGAAACUGCGAACAGCUCAGUAUAACAGUUAUAAUUUAUUUGAUGAUUCUUUACUAGUCGGCAUAACACUGGUAAAUCUAGAGCUAAUACGUGCACUACUUCGGUAGGCAUUUGUUAGCAUUCAAACCAACGGGAACUUCGGUUCUCUCCUUGGUGAUUCUAGACAACUUAGCAGAUCCUUCUGUUGGGUGACAGAUCAUUCAAAUUUCUGCCCUAUCAACUUUCGAUUGUAGGAUAGAGGCCUACAAUGGUGAUGACGGGUAACGGAGGAUUAGGGUUUGACUCCGGAGAAUGAGCCUGAGAGACGGCUCAUACUUCCAAGGAAGGCAGCAGGCGCGAAAAUUACCCAAUGCACAUUGUGCGAGGUAGUGACGAGAAAUAGUGGGGUCUUAGCCUUUUGGCAGAGACCAUUGCAAUGAGUACAACCUAAAAAACUUAACGAGCAGCAACUGGAGGGCAAGUCUGGUGCCAGCAGCCGCGGUAAUUCCAGCUCCAGUAGCAUAUACUAAAAUUGUUGCAGUUAAAAAGCUCGUAGUUGAAUUUCAGGUUGAGCGGCUAUCUUCGGACGGCUAAGCUUGACCUUAUCUGCGUGUGUUUGGUCUUCGGACCUGACGUGCGUACUUUACCAUGAGGAAAUUGGAGCGUUCAAAGCAGGUUAAUUCUGUUGAACAUGCCAGCAUGGAAUAUCGGGACAAGACUUCGGUCUCUGUUUCGUUGGUUUGCAGAUACCAGUAAUGGUUAAUAGGGGUGGUCGGGGCCAUUAGUAUUGGGGGGCGAGAGGUGAAAUUCGUAGACCCUUCCAAGACUCUCUUAUGCGAAAGCAUUUGGCAAGGACAUUCUCGUUAAUCAAGAACGAAAGCUGGGGGAUAGAAGGCGAUUAGACACCACCGUAUUCCCAGCCAUAAACUAUGCCAGCUAGGGAUUGGAGUUUCCGAUCUUUAGGUCUCUUCAGGAUCUUUUGGGAAACCAAAGCUUUUGGGUUCUGGGGGGAGUAUGGUCGCAAGGCUGAAACUUAAAGGAAUUGACGGAAGGGCACCACCAGGCGUGGAGUCUGCGGCUUAAUUUGACUCAACACGGUGAAGCUUACCAGGUCCAGACACGUUAAGGAUUGACAGAUUGAUAGCUCUUUCAUGAUCACGUGGUUGGUGGUGCAUGGCCGUUCUUAGUUCGUGGGGUGACUUGUCUGCUCUACUGCGAUAACGAACGAGACCUCCGCGGUUAAAUGCUUCCCAUGCUUUUUGCAGAAGGGAGCUCUUAGUCGGACUGUUAGUUUUUUAAGCUAAAGGAAGGUGGAGGCAAUAACAGGUCUGUGAUGCCCUUAGAUGUCCUGGGCCGCACGCGUACUACAAUGGCGGAUUCAGCGGGAUGACUUGGCCGAAAGGCUUGGCGAAUCCUGUGAAAAUCUGUCGUGGCUGGGAUCGGAGGUUGUAAUUUUCCUCCGUGAACCAGGAAUGCCUAGUAAGCGCGGGUCACAAACCCGCGUUGAUUACGUCCCUGCCCUUUGUACACACCGCCCGUCGCUACUACCGAUUGAAUGUGUUGGCGAGUUCUUCAGAGCGCGUUAUUCGAAGCAAUUUGAAUGUAUGUGUGAAGUUGCGCGAGCUGCCGCAUUUAGAGGAAGUAAAAGUCGUAACAAGGUAUCC
This 1705-nucleotide ribosomal RNA is filed under the name uncultured eukaryote. RNAcentral describes it as "partial small subunit ribosomal RNA". It matches the Rfam family "Eukaryotic small subunit ribosomal RNA". The record is from RNAcentral.